RNAcentral lists this ribosomal RNA (1862 nucleotides) under Haemoproteus minutus. RNAcentral's name for it is "SSU rRNA". It matches the Rfam family "Eukaryotic small subunit ribosomal RNA". The record is from RNAcentral. Lineage: Eukaryota; Apicomplexa; Aconoidasida; Haemosporida; Haemoproteidae.
UUGUCUAAAGGAUUAAGCCAUGCAUGCGAAAGUAUAGACUUGUUUAGAAGUUGAAACUGCGAACGGCUCCUUAAAACAGUUAUAAUCUACUUGGAAUAAUUUUAUAAGGAUACCUACGGAAACGCUGUAGCUAAUACUUGACAUUUUUCCAUUAAUUUUAAUGGGAUGUAUUCGUUGGCUUAGCGGUAUCGUGUAUUCUUGUGGAAUCACAACGAAGAAGUGACGCGUCUGCCUUUUUUAGGUGGUUAGCGCGUACCAAUCGAGUUUCUGAUCUAUCAGCUUGUCACGAAGGUAUUGUCUUGGUGAGGCUAUGACGGAUAACGGGGAAUUAGAGUUCGAUUCCGGAGAGGGCGCCUGAGAGAUGGCGACUAUAACUACGGUUAGCAGCAGGCGCGAAAAUUGCCCAAUGCCGACAAGGCGAGGCAGCGACCAGACAUACUGAUUCUCGGCCGUUUUACGGUUGAGAAAUCGGAUUCGGUCUUCUGUAAAACUGAAGACGAGAGGAAGUUUAGAUCAAGUUGAAGUGCCAGCAUUCGCGGUAAUACUUCCUUAAACGAAUGUAUGUUAAAGUUGUUGCGGUUAAAACGCUCGUAGUUGAUUAUCAUUCACAAGUUCGUUUAAUUGUUCAAUUUAUUUUGAACGGAUAAACCUUGUGAAUUGGCAUUGUUUUAUUUUUUUAAAAUAGAACGUGUCGUUACCUUGAGUAAAUUAGAGUGUUCAAAGCGGGCUUCUCCGUUUGAAUAUCCCAGCAUGGAAUAACUGCAUUGCGCCUGGUUUGUCUUUUGCGAUAUCGCACAAGCUAGGUGCCGAUUAAUAGGAGCAGUUGGGGGCAUCCGUACUCCGGAGCUAGAGGUGAAAUUCUGUGACUUCCGGAUGACGAACAACUGCGAAGGCACUUGCCCAAAAUGCGUCCAUUAAUCAAGAGCGAAGUUAUGGGUAUCGAAAAAGAUCAGAGACCUUUGUAAUCCAUAAAGUAAACUAUGCCAUCCGGGGCGGAGUUAACCACUUUGACGUUCCGGCGUUAGCGCUAUUUUCAUUUUAUGAUUUUGGUGCUUUCGUCGUCGUCGCUUAGGGUUCGUUCUGCCCCCGUGAGAAAUCCGAGAUUUUGGGUUCCGGGGCGAGUAUAAGCGCAAGCUAGAAAGUUAAAAGAAUUGACGGAGGGGCACCACAAAGCGUGGAGCUUGCGGCUUAAUUUGACUCAACACGGGAAACCUCACUAGUGUAAGACAGCGGGAGGAUUGACAGGUUUGCAGACCUUUCUUGAUCCGCUGGCGGGUGAUGCAUGGCCGUUCCUAGCUCUUGGCGUGGGCUGUCUGGUUAAUUCCGAUAACGAGCGGGACCUCCCCCUUCAUUUGUCCGGCUCUCAUUAAACCAAAGUGAUGGACUUGAUACGUUUUUUCUUUUGUACUUCGGUAUAAUUGAUAUAAACGUAGAAAGAAAAUUGCUUUGAGAGUCUUUACUGGUAACAUGGAGGGACGUCGCGUGUUUAACGCGAGGCAGGGAGGCAACAACAGGUCUGUGAUGUCCUCAGAUAUGCUAGGCUGCACGCGUGCUACACUGGCGCGCGCAUCGGGCGUAUAAAUAAAAAUCUGCAAAUUUAUUUGUUUGAUUUUGUUUCCUCUCUCGACAGAGCGGGGGAAUCCUGAAUGCGCGCCGUGACGGGGAUCGAAUCUUGCAAUUAGGAUUCUUGAACGAGGAAUGCUUAGUAAGCGCAACUCAUCAGGUUGCGCUGUAUGCGUAACUGCCCUUUGCACACACCGCCCGUCGUUGCUUUUAAUGAAGUGCCAAGUGACUUGUGCAGAGUGUUCGUUUGGAUUUCCUUACAAAUGCGAAGUACUGGGAACUUUGUACUUUAGAGAAAG